Molecule: microRNA precursor, 103 nt
Filed under: Marmota monax (woodchuck)
Lineage: Eukaryota; Metazoa; Chordata; Mammalia; Rodentia; Sciuridae
Source: RNAcentral
AAUAGGAUAGCUGGGUCAUAUAGUAGUUCCAUUCCUAGAUUUUUGAGAAAUCUCCAAACUGCUUUCCAAAGUGGUUGUACCAAUUUGCAGUCCCACAAACAAU